RNAcentral lists this ribosomal RNA (406 nucleotides) under uncultured bacterium. Its description in RNAcentral is "partial 16S ribosomal RNA". It matches the Rfam family "Bacterial small subunit ribosomal RNA", at positions 30 to 526 of the family's 1533-position model. The record is from RNAcentral.
AUUGAACGCUGGCGGCAGGCCUAACACAUGCAAGUCGAACGAGUGGCGGACGGGUGAGUAAUGUCUGGGAAACUGCCCGAUGGAGUGGGAUAACUACUGGAAACGGUAGCUAAUACCGCAUACCAUCGGAUGUGCCCAGAUGGGAUUAGCUUGUAGGUGAGGUAACGGCUCACCUAGGCGACGAUCCCUAGCUGGGCUGAGAGGAUGACCAGCAAAACUGGAACUGAGACACGGUCCAGACUCCUAGGGAAGGCAGCAGUGGGGAAUAUGGCACGAGGGGCGAAAGCCGGAUGUAGCCAUGCCGCGUGUGUGAAGAAGGCCUUAGGGUUGUAAAGUACUUUCAGCGGGUAGGCGUUACCCGCAGAAGAAGCACCCGCUCACUCCGUGCCAGCAGCCGCGGUAAUUC